RNAcentral lists this ribosomal RNA (683 nucleotides) under bacterium IMCC11493. RNAcentral describes it as "bacterial SSU rRNA". It matches the Rfam family "Bacterial small subunit ribosomal RNA", at positions 28 to 745 of the family's 1533-position model. The record is from RNAcentral.
AACGAACGCUUGCUGCAUGCUUUAUACAUGCAAGUCGAACGGAGGCCCUAGCUUGCUAGGUGUCCUUAGUGGCGCACGGGUGAGUAACACGUGGGAACAUACCUCAUAGUACGGAAUAACUGCGGGAAACUGUAGCUAAUACCGUAUAUUCCAGCAAUGGGAAAGAUUUAUCGCUAUGAGAUUGGCCCGCGCAAGAUUAGUUUGUUGGUAAGGUAAUGGCUUACCAAGACUACGAUCUUUAGCUGGUUUGAGAGGAUGAUCAGCCACACUGGGACUGAGACACGGCCCAGACUCCUACGGGAGGCAGCAGUAGGGAAUAUUGGACAAUGGGGGAAACCCUGAUCCAGCAAUGCAGCGUGAGUGACGAAGGCCUUAGGGUUGUAAAACUCUUUCAUCGGUGAGGAUAAUGACAGUAGCCGAAGAAGAAGGACCGGCUAAUUCCGUGCCAGCAGCCGCGGUAAUACGGAAGGUCCUAGCGUUGUUCGGAAUUACUGGGCGUAAAGCGCAUGUAGGCGGAACAGAAAGUUAGAAGUGAAAUCCCUGGGCUCAACCUAGGAAUUGCUUUUAAAACUUCUGUUCUGGAAUUCAGGAGAGGAAAAUGGAAUAUCCAGUGUAGAGGUGAAAUUCGUAGAUAUUGGAUGGAACACCAGUGGCGAAGGCGAUUUUCUGGACUGAUAUUGACG